RNAcentral lists this ribosomal RNA (252 nucleotides) under uncultured bacterium. RNAcentral's name for it is "partial 16S ribosomal RNA". It matches the Rfam family "Bacterial small subunit ribosomal RNA", at positions 524 to 776 of the family's 1533-position model. The record is from RNAcentral.
UACGUAGGUGGCUAGCGUUAUCCGGAGUUACUGGGCGUAAAGGGUGCGUAGGUGGUUUCUUAAGUCAGAGGUGAAAGGCUACGGCUCAACCGUAGUAAGCCUUUGAAACUGGGGAACUUGAGUGCAGGAGAGGAGAGUGGAAUUCCUAGUGUAGCGGUGAGAUGCGUAGAUAUUAGGAGGAACACCAGUUGCGAAGGCGGCUCUCUGGACUGUAACUGACACUGAGGCACGAAAGCGUGGGGAGCAAACAGG